RNAcentral lists this unclassified non-coding RNA (1058 nucleotides) under Hevea brasiliensis (rubber tree). The record is from RNAcentral. Lineage: Eukaryota; Viridiplantae; Streptophyta; Magnoliopsida; Malpighiales; Euphorbiaceae.
AAAGAAUGAUCCAUGGAUUUUUCUAUGCAACUGUGAAACACAGAUACAAAAGGAAAUUAAAGAAGCUUGUUAAUAAUAAUAAUAUAACCAUAACAUGAAGCUUGUGAGUGAGAGAGAAAGCAAAUGAGCUUCGAAUGCUAGCCAGCUAAAUUGUAGCUUUUCUUUACGUAUACAAGCUGUACACAAGCUCCUCUCCUAAAUAAACACUAGCUAAUUAAAAGUGCCCUAACUGAAAAACCAAGGAAACAAAGAAAACUAUAAAGUUAUGAGAGAGAAUUUAGAAAGGGAAAAGGAAGCAAAUCGCGAAGAGGCAGAAAAGCCUGCGAAACUUGAUCAGCAAUCAAUCAGUUACUUAGCCCUUUCAACAUGGCGUAUAUAAACAGUUUCCAAGUCAGGAGGAGUAAAGAACUCUCUAACACCACUGUAACUGCAUUUCAAAGUAGCCUUUCUCUUCUUGGGAGCGGGCGGGCAUGUCAGUCUCGUCGGAAUUCUAGCAUCUUCACUUGUCGGUGUGGUGGUCGUCGUCGAACACUCAUCAGUUUCGCUUUCUUUCUCUACAGGAUUUGUAAAAAUUGGCUUUAAAGGAGCUCUUAAAGGAAUUCCUGCAAUAACCCAUUUUUUAGAAUCCAAUUCCAACCCAGAAUCAACUUGAGGCUUCUCUGAGAACCCCAUGCUUUGGAUUGAAGAAACAAAGAAAACCCUUCAAGUAAUAUAGGAACAGGAAGCUAGCUAUCUAGCCAGCUAGAGAAUAGGGAAUAAAGCAUACAGAGAAUAAAGAAAAGGGGUAUAGUGAUCGUGUGGGGAUUGGCUGAGAAUCAAAUGAAACCAGGAGGAAAGUGAAGGAAAGAAAGAAAGGAAAAGAAAAUGGAAAGGAAAGGUUAUUUCCGAGAGAGAAAAGAGUUCUAAAGAAGCUAGAAGUCUGGAGGAGAGGGGACAUCUAUGUCAGUACUGAAUCAGAGAGAAAGUUUUAAUGGAAUUGAGAGAAAAACUUUUUAAAAAAGAAAAGAAAGAAAGAAGCUUUAAAUGAAGGGAAGAGCAACGGUGAAUGUAGAAGUCUG